AAAAAUGCAAGUCGAGCGGACAGAAGAGAGCUUGCUCCCGGAUGUUAGCGGCGGACGGGUGAGUAACACGUGGGUAACCUGCCUGUAAGACUGGGAUAACUCCGGGAAACCGGAGCUAAUACCGGAUAGUUCCUUGAACCGCAUGGUUCAAGGAUGAAAGACGGUUUCGGCUGUCACUUACAGAUGGACCCGCGGCGCAUUAGCUAGUUGGUGAGGUAACGGCUCACCAAGGCGACGAUGCGUAGCCGACCUGAGAGGGUGAUCGGCCACACUGGGACUGAGACACGGCCCAGACUCCUACGGGAGGCAGCAGUAGGGAAUCUUCCGCAAUGGACGAAAGUCUGACGGAGCAACGCCGCGUGAGUGAUGAAGGUUUUCGGAUCGUAAAGCUCUGUUGUUAGGGAAGAACAAGUGCAAGAGUAACUGCUUGCACCUUGACGGUACCUAACCAGAAAGCCACGGCUAACUACGUGCCAGCAGCCGCGGUAAUACGUAGGUGGCAAGCGUUGUCCGGAAUUAUUGGGCGUAAAGGGCUCGCAGGCGGUUUCUUAAGUCUGAUGUGAAAGCCCCCGGCUCAACCGGGGAGGGUCAUUGGAAACUGGGAAACUUGAGUGCAGAAGAGGAGAGUGGAAUUCCACGUGUAGCGGUGAAAUGCGUAGAGAUGUGGAGGAACACCAGUGGCGAAAGCGACUCUCUGGUCUGUAACUGACUCUUAGGAGCGAAAAGCGUGGGGAGCGAACAGGAUUAGAUACCCUGGUAGUUCACGCCGUAAACGAUGAGUGCUAAUUGUUAGGGGGUUUCCGCCCCUUAGUGCUGCAGCUUACGCUUUAUGC
Molecule: ribosomal RNA, 833 nt
Filed under: uncultured prokaryote
Description: bacterial SSU rRNA
Rfam family: Bacterial small subunit ribosomal RNA
Source: RNAcentral